RNAcentral lists this ribosomal RNA (253 nucleotides) under uncultured bacterium. RNAcentral's name for it is "partial 16S ribosomal RNA". It matches the Rfam family "Bacterial small subunit ribosomal RNA", at positions 524 to 776 of the family's 1533-position model. The record is from RNAcentral.
UACGUAGGGACCGAGCGUUGUCCGGAUUCAUUGGGCGUAAAGAGCUCGUAGGCGGCUGCUCAAGUCGAAUGUGAAACCUCGAGGCUUAACCUCGAGCCUGCAUUCGAUACUGGGCGGCUAGAGUCUGGUAGGGGGAUCUGGAAUUCCUGGUGUAGCGGUGGAAUGCGUUGAUAUCAGAAGGAACUCCGGUGGCGAAAGCGACGUGCUGGACCUCUUCUGACGCUGAGGCGCGAAAGCUAGGGGAGCGAACGGG